CCCGCAACCGCUACAUUCUGCGCCGAACCCACUCUCCCCCGGUCCGUAUUUUAACUUCUUCCCACAGACCUACUUGUACCUCGUUGGGUACCGGGAGACAGUUUGGAUUACUAGCAUUACGGAUUGAGUGGGAUUUUACGCGGAUGACGACUCCUUCAACGAGAAUUUAGUAAAAGAAAAUCGGUCGGAAAAUUCAGAACAUGUGGAAGAGACCUUAAUGUCAGCAUCCUGGAAGUAGAAAGCACAGAGGAUCUGUGUCUCAUAUCACAGACAGGUGCAGUGUAUAGCCGGGGCAGCACAGAAGAAGGAAACUCAC
Long non-coding RNA from Lampris incognitus (smalleye Pacific opah), 316 nucleotides. RefSeq lists it as uncharacterized. The record is from RefSeq and is a predicted model, not a curated record. The transcript is spliced from 3 exons. Lineage: Eukaryota; Metazoa; Chordata; Actinopteri; Lampriformes; Lampridae.